GACGAGCGCUGGCGGCGUGCCUAAUACAUGCAAGUAGAACGCUGAAGAGAGGAGCUUGCUCUUCUUGGAUGAGUUGCGAACGGGUGAGUAACGCGUAGGUAACCUGCCUUGUAGCGGGGGAUAACUAUUGGAAACGAUAGCUAAUACCGCAUAACAAUGGAUGACACAUGUCAUUUAUUUGAAAGGGGCAAUUGCUCCACUACAAGAUGGACCUGCGUUGUAUUAGCUAGUAGGUGAGGUAAUGGCUCACCUAGGCGACGAUACAUAGCCGACCUGAGAGGGUGAUCGGCCACACUGGGACUGAGACACGGCCCAGACUCCUACGGGAGGCAGCAGUAGGGAAUCUUCGGCAAUGGGGGCAACCCUGACCGAGCAACGCCGCGUGAGUGAAGAAGGUUUUCGGAUCGUAAAGCUCUGUUGUAAGUCAAGAACGGGUGUGAGAGUGGAAAGUUCACACUGUGACGGUAGCUUACCCGAAAGGGACGGCUAACUACGUG
This 497-nucleotide ribosomal RNA is filed under the name uncultured bacterium. RNAcentral describes it as "partial 16S ribosomal RNA". It matches the Rfam family "Bacterial small subunit ribosomal RNA", at positions 28 to 507 of the family's 1533-position model. The record is from RNAcentral.